CAGGGCCUCCCGCACCUGUGCAGCCAGGAGGAUGUGAGUGAAAAGAGCUUUGAAGCAGCAUGCAGAAGUUUGUAGAAAGGGAGCUGAACUCCCUCAAGACGUCCACUAGAUGGCACUAAAUGCACGGCUAAACAAACCAAAGGCACCAUUUCCUGCCCCCUUGCUGAAUAUUCUCCUUCAAGUAAUCUUCCGUGACCAAACCUCCUGAAAUUACACCCAGAGGGAGUCAACUCUUCACUGCAAAGUUGUCUUCUCUGAAAGCAGCCUUUUCAGAAGCAACCUGUCUUCUCUGUGCAAUAAGCGGCUACCUGUCAAGUGGAAUCAAGCCUGAGCCACUUUUGUA
Erinaceus europaeus (western European hedgehog) is the source of this 343-nucleotide long non-coding RNA. RefSeq lists it as uncharacterized. NCBI's taxonomy places the organism in Eukaryota, Metazoa, Chordata, Mammalia, Eulipotyphla, Erinaceidae. The transcript is spliced from 2 exons. The record is from RefSeq and is a predicted model, not a curated record.